Tyto alba (common barn owl) is the source of this 491-nucleotide long non-coding RNA. RefSeq lists it as uncharacterized. The transcript has 3 exons. Lineage: Eukaryota; Metazoa; Chordata; Aves; Strigiformes; Tytonidae. The record is from RefSeq and is a predicted model, not a curated record.
GGCUUGGGCAUUUGCUUUUAGGUAGAAAAAGCUGCUUGAGGCUCUGUUCCUUACAGAAAGGAAAGCAAUGCUGCAAACCAGGUGACUCACCCAGAGGCCCGAUGAACAGCCUGAGUUCUUGCGAAUCAACAGACCAAGGAUUUGCUGACCAAGGUAUCGUAAUAGUCAACUGUUUUUUGGCAUGUGCAGCUAUCCUUAUGAUGCUCCAGAGCUGCUAAAAAGCUGGGGAAGCGGUUGUAGAAGAGAAAAUAAUCAAGGUAUGUACAAAAAAAAUGGGUUUAGGGACAGGUGGUGUAUGUCCUGCUGUGCUCCCUGAUGGAAUUAGCUCCUAUAAAAUGCCUCUUUGUGAAGAACCCAGAGUUCAAGCUUGGUGCUGUUUUUAGCAUCUGAGUAAGUGAACUUUUUAAGUGCCGGUGAGCCGAAGUGCUGGGUUUUUAGGCCGACACCAAGAUUUCCAAGCCACCCGAGCAGCGCGCUCGGAAGCGGUGGGU